Molecule: long non-coding RNA, 1709 nt
Organism: Symphalangus syndactylus (siamang)
Lineage: Eukaryota; Metazoa; Chordata; Mammalia; Primates; Hylobatidae
Source: RefSeq, a predicted model, not a curated record
GCUGCGACCUAACACACCCGGAUCGCGACAACAACAGGAGUCCUGUGCAAUGCCCGGGGUGACCAAAAAGCCCUCGAGGUAGCCACAGUCCGGACCCUAGUGACAAAUGGUGACAUGUAUCUAUAUCCGGGUCGGCGGAGGGCUCAUUUCAUCUGGCCUGGGGGAAAAUGAAUCUUAAUUUGUUUACACAGACGUAAACACAGCCCAAAACGCAUCAGCCCGAAGACUCAAAAGCCUGCAACGCCUGGGAAAAGCAAUUUGGUUAACAGGGGGAAGCGAACAGACGGAGACGGUUGGAGACCCAGAAGUUUGGAAAGAGCCUUUAUGUGCCAAGAAUUCUGCAGUUAUCACCACGUGGAUAGGACCCAAGGCCUCUGGCCCUCAGCUGUGUUGAAUAAGCCAGUUUGGAAGCUGAAGCAGAUCCUCCAGCCUUCAGUCAAAUUGUCCCAGCUGAUGUUGUAUACAACAGAGAUGAACCUUCCCACUGAGCCCUGCCCAACUGAAAUCUGUGGGACAAAAAAAAAUGAUGUUUGACAUUAACAUGCCUUCAAAGAAAGAGAUUUUAAGUGCCAUUUUGAUCAUGGAGGUUAACUGAUUCUGUGUUAGUUUUUGAGCAAGAUGCUAGGAGUUGAAAUUGUAACUGUCCAGUGAGUUUUUCUGGCCUGCUGCCCAGACAGAGCCAAUUUAUCAAGAUAGGGGAAUUGCAUUAGAGAAAGUUUAAUACACGCACAGCCAGCUAAAUGGGAGGCCAGAGUUGUAUGACUCAAAUCAGUCUCCUUGAAAAUUUGGAGACCAGGGUUUUUUAAGGAUAAUUUGCUGGGCAGGGGUCUAGGGAGUGGCAACACUGGUGGAGUUGGGGAUGAAAUCACAGGGAGUCUAAGCAGUUUCCUUCUGCUGUCUUCUGUUCCUGGGUGGGAUUGCAGAACUGGUUGAGCCAGAUUACCCAUCUGUAUAGUGCCAGCUGCUCCAUCAGAAUGCAGGUUCUAAAAAUAUCUCAAACACCAAUCUUAGGUUUUACAAUAGUGAUGUUAUCCCUAAGAGCAAUUGGGGAGGUUAUGAAUCUUGUAGCCUCUGGCUGCAAGACCCCUAAACUGUAAUUUCUAAUCUGUGGCUAAUUUGUUAGUUCUACAAAAGUAGUCCCAUUUCCAGGCAAGGAGGGGGUUUGUUUCAGGAAAGAGCUGUUAUUAUUUUUGUUUCAAAUUAAACUAUAAACUAAAUCCCUCUUAUGGUUAGCUCGGCCUAUGCCCAGGAAUGAACAAGGGCAGUUUGGAGUUAAAAGACAAGAUGAGAUGGUUAGGUCAGAUCUCUUUCACUGUCGUCAUUUUCUCACUGUCAUAAUUUUUGCAAGAUGGUUUCAAAAUAAGAAUCCUAGACUAUGCUUACCCAACACUUCUUUCCCUUAUCUUACCUCCUUGUCCUCCCAGAAGCAGGAAUGGCUAUCUUAAUACACAAAUCUGACCAUGUCUUCCCCUACUUAGCUGGUUUCCUUGCUGCUCUUGGCACAGAGUCUACCCCUUCUGUACCAUGAGUUCCCUCCCUCUUGCCCCUUCAUCCUCACUGAAAAUUGCCCUCCCACACUUCCCCCACCCCUUUUUCAGUCACUCUUUUCCAACAGUCAGGUACAACCUUAAAUGUCUCUCUGUUAUUUCUAUUGAAUAUUCUCAUGACACUUAUUGUAACCAUAAUAAAUUAUUUACAUGUUUGACUGU